UUUUUCUAUUGAUUAAUCAUCUUUAUCCAUGAUUCGAAUGUGUUUAGUGUGUUUUCGUGUACACUUGGAUUAUUGUAAUGGUUGUUUAAAACAUGUACUAUGCUUUGGUAGUAUCAUUUAUUGAUCCUUCCGAUAAGUUAUGAGCUCAUUCAAGAUUAAUAUGUAAAAAGUUGAAGAAAUGAUGUAAAUAAAAUAAAACUAAAACUUAACCUCAAAACUUGAGCUUAACGGACAUUCAAUAUAUCGAGAAACUAAACGAAUUAAAUCAUAAAUUGGAAAUUAUAAUUGAAAGUGUAUUAAAUUGUAAUGAUUCAUGAUACUACAGAAGUGGAACUCAAAUGAAAAAUGAUCAAAAAUAGGUUGAAUUGAUAAGAACGAAAAAGGACUUGCAUGGAUUCCAUUACCGCCAUCAAAGAACCAGAUGAAGAAAAGUAAAGUAUCAAGCAAUACACGGAAUCAAUUAAAGGGUAUACAUGAGUCAAAAGAUCCACCAAGAAAGGAAAAAAGAAAAGUAGUUAUGUACAAACAAGUUGUACAAUCCAACGAUAGAACCUAAUUAAAAUAUGACGGAGCAUGCAAAUAAUAAUGUAAUAAAUUAUAAAGCAAAAUAACUUGAAGGAACUAAUAUAUAAAUUUCAGAUUCUUUCUAUUGUUUUAUCAGAUUCAGUUUCUUUGAAGAGAGUUGUAAGAGAUUAAUCUAUAGUCGCUAUUGAAAGAGGAUCAAAAUUAUCUUUUGGAAUAUCAUGUUAAAAUAUGAAAAGACGAAGAGAGAAAAUGUUGAUAGAAAAAAAUUGAUUUGUACCAUGAUUGUACAGAUUAUUGACUAAAUGUUUUGGAGAGUAUCAUAUUAAUUAGUAACUCAUAGAGUUUUGUCGGAGCAUGUGAGACAGAAUCUGAUAAAUUUUCCUGUAGUUAAAUAGACUCGUAUAAUUGAAUUCAUAAAUUGUAAUCUUUAUCUUUUUUCUUCGUUAAAAAAAAAAGCUAGGUAUGAAGGGUGUUAAGUAAAAUACUAAAAAUAAUUCUUUC
Vespa mandarinia (Asian giant hornet) is the source of this 1026-nucleotide long non-coding RNA. The record is from RefSeq and is a predicted model, not a curated record. Lineage: Eukaryota; Metazoa; Arthropoda; Insecta; Hymenoptera; Vespidae.